Tachyglossus aculeatus (Australian echidna) is the source of this 221-nucleotide long non-coding RNA. RefSeq lists it as uncharacterized. NCBI's taxonomy places the organism in Eukaryota, Metazoa, Chordata, Mammalia, Monotremata, Tachyglossidae. The transcript has 3 exons. The record is from RefSeq and is a predicted model, not a curated record.
UGAUCCAACAAUUCUUCUGUGAUGUCCCCUCCUUGCUGAACAUCUCCUGCUCUGAAAGGCACAUUGUCGUUGAUGUCAGUGUAGUCAUUGGUCACGAACCUCCAAAAGAUGCGAUCGAUGGCCUGCAGACCCACAGGAUGAGGAGAGCAGUAGGGGCAAUUGAGCACGAACCCAUCCCAGGCAGUUCAUGACACCUCCCAGACCAUGUCUAACAGCACGAU